CGGGGUGUGGCCUAAUUGGUAAGGCGCACGAUUCGGGUUCGUGAGAUUCCGGGUUCAAGUCCCGGCACCCCGACCA
This 76-nucleotide transfer RNA is filed under the name Patescibacteria group bacterium. RNAcentral's name for it is "tRNA-Pro". It matches the Rfam family "tRNA". From Rfam's summary of the family: Transfer RNA (tRNA) molecules are approximately 80 nucleotides in length. Their secondary structure includes four short double-helical elements and three loops (D, anti-codon, and T loops). The record is from RNAcentral.